RNAcentral lists this ribosomal RNA (490 nucleotides) under uncultured bacterium. RNAcentral describes it as "partial 16S ribosomal RNA". It matches the Rfam family "Bacterial small subunit ribosomal RNA", at positions 30 to 507 of the family's 1533-position model. The record is from RNAcentral.
AUUGAACGCUGGCGGCAGGCCUGACACAUGCAAGUCGAACGGUAACAGGAAGAAGCUUGCUUCUUUGCUGACGAGUGGCGGACGGGUGAGUAAUGUCUGGGAAACUGCCUGAUGGAGGGGGAUAACUACUGGAAACGGUAGCUAAUACCGCAUAACGUCGCAAGACCAAAGAGGGGGACCUUCGGGCCUCUUUCCAUCGGCUGUGCCCAGAUGGGAUUAGCUAGUAGGUGGGGUAACGGCUCACCUAGGCGACGAUCCCUAGCUGGUCUGAGAGGAUGACCAGCCACACUGGAACUGAGACACGGUCCAGACUCCUACGGGAGGCAGCAGUGGGGAAUAUUGCACAAUGGGCGAAAGCCUGAUGCAGCCAUGCCGCGUGUAUGAAGAAGGCCUUCGGGUUGUAAAGUACUUUCAGCGGGGAGGAAGGGAGUAAAGUUAAUACCUGUACUCAUUGACGUUACCCGCAGAAGAAGCACCGGCUAACUCCGUG